RNAcentral lists this ribosomal RNA (1197 nucleotides) under Staphylococcus pseudintermedius. Its description in RNAcentral is "partial 23S ribosomal RNA". It matches the Rfam family "Bacterial large subunit ribosomal RNA", at positions 1 to 1191 of the family's 2925-position model. Lineage: Bacteria; Bacillati; Bacillota; Bacilli; Caryophanales; Staphylococcaceae. The record is from RNAcentral.
UUAGAUUAAGUUAUUAAGGGCGCACGGUGGAUGCCUUGGCACUAGAAGCCGACGAAGGACGUUACUAACGACGAUAUGCUUUGGGGAGCUGUAAGUAAGCUUUGAUCCAGAGAUUUCCGAAUGGGGAAACCCAGCACGAGUUAUGUCGUGUUAUCUGCAUGUGAAUACAUAGCAUGCAAGAAGGCAGACCCGGAGAACUGAAACAUCUUAGUACCCGGAGGAAGAGAAAGAAAAAUCGAUUCCCUGAGUAGCGGCGAGCGAAACGGGAAGAGCCCAAACCAAUAAGCUUGCUUAUUGGGGUUGUAGGACACUCUGUACGGAGUUACAAAAGAAUUUGUUAGACGAAUAACCUGGAAAGGUUAAUCAUAGAAGGUAAUAAUCCUGUAGUCGAAAACGAAUUCUCUCUUGAGUGGAUCCUGAGUACGACGGAGCACGUGAAAUUCCGUCGGAAUCUGGGAGGACCAUCUCCUAAGGCUAAAUACUCUCUAGUGACCGAUAGUGAACCAGUACCGUGAGGGAAAGGUGAAAAGUACCCCGGAAGGGGAGUGAAAGAGAACUUGAAACCGUGUGCUUACAAGUAGUCAGAGCCCGUUAAUGGGUGAUGGCGUGCCUUUUGUAGAAUGAACCGGCGAGUUACGAUCUGAUGCAAGGUUAAGCAGAAAAUGUGGAGCCGUAGCGAAAGCGAGUCUGAAUAGGGCGAAUGAGUAUUUGGUCGUAGACCCGAAACCAGGUGAUCUACCCUUGGUCAGGUUGAAGUUCAGGUAACACUGAAUGGAGGACCGAACCGACUUACGUUGAAAAGUGAGCGGAUGAACUGAGGGUAGCGGAGAAAUUCCAAUCGAACUUGGAGAUAGCUGGUUCUCUCCGAAAUAGCUUUAGGGCUAGCCUCAAGUGAUGAUUAUUGGAGGUAGAGCACUGUUUGGACGAGGGGCCCCUCUCGGGUUACCGAAUUCAGACAAACUCCGAAUGCCAAAUAAUUUAACUUGGGAGUCAGAAUGUGGGUGAUAAGGUCCAUAUUCGAAAGGGAAACAGCCCAGACCACCAGCUAAGGUCCCAAAAUAUAUGUUAAGUGGAAAAGGAUGUGGCGUUGCCCAGACAACUAGGAUGUUGGCUUAGAAGCAGCCAUCAUUUAAAGAGUGCGUAAUAGCUCACUAGUCGAGUGACACUGCGCCGAAAAUGUACCGGGGCUAAACAUAU